GUAACGUAAUCAAAUUACUGUGUGGGUGCUAUAUCUGAUUACGGUGGGAGAGGAGGGGUAAUAAGCUUGUAUAGAUAUUAUUUAGGUAAGGGAUUCGAUUACAGUGUCAAUUGAUUACAAACCACCGCAACCAAACAUAUGUAAUGGGAUUCAUUACCUUCUGUAAUCAGAUUACGUUACAUUUGAGCCAACCAAACACCACCAGUCCGUGUUCGAAACCAAACACCCUGGUAAAGCUAUCCACAAACUGACCAACAGAGGAUGGAGCAUGAAGCACGCCCUCAUUUUCUUUUUAUUUUCCGCUCGUCUCGUUGUCGUCUCCGUUAAAAGAUCACUUCACCUGUGUUCUCCGG
RNAcentral lists this long non-coding RNA (353 nucleotides) under Setaria viridis. RNAcentral's name for it is "long non-coding RNA (SVIR_LNC002180)". The record is from RNAcentral. Lineage: Eukaryota; Viridiplantae; Streptophyta; Magnoliopsida; Poales; Poaceae.